Molecule: ribosomal RNA, 513 nt
Filed under: uncultured bacterium
Lineage: Bacteria
Description: bacterial SSU rRNA
Rfam family: Bacterial small subunit ribosomal RNA
Source: RNAcentral
GAGUUUGAUCCUGGCUCAGAUUGAACGCUGGCGGCAGGCCUAACACAUGCAAGUCGGGCGGUAGAGAGAAGCUUGCUUCUCUUGAGAGCGGCGGACGGGUGAGUAAUGCCUAGGAAUCUGCCUGGUAGUGGGGGAUAACGCUCGGAAACGGACGCUAAUACCGCAUACGUCCUACGGGAGAAAGCAGGGGACCUUCGGGCCUUGCGCUAUCAGAUGAGCCUAGGUCGGAUUAGCUAGUUGGUGAGGUAAUGGCUCACCAAGGCGACGAUCCGUAACUGGUCUGAGAGGAUGAUCAGUCACACUGGAACUGAGACACGGUCCAGACUCCUACGGGAGGCAGCAGUGGGGAAUAUUGGACAAUGGGCGAAAGCCUGAUCCAGCCAUGCCGCGUGUGUGAAGAAGGUCUUCGGAUUGUAAAGCACUUUAAGUUGGGAGGAAGGGCAGUAAAUUAAUAACUUUGCUGUUUGACGUUACCGACAGAAUAAGCACCGGCUAACUCUGUGCCAGCAGCCG